GCAGGCCAGGAUACUUCUCAUGGCACGCCUCUUCGCCUCAUACCGCAGGGCUGGAGUCUGUAUUCCAGAGAAGGCGCGGCUCUGUUCCCUCUAGAAAGGAUAUCUUGAAUGUUUGGUGAGCACACUUGGCCUCAGAGAAACUCCUGAAAUUUUAAUGUGUUUUCUUGUCAAUCAAACAGAAGUCCAGACUCCUGUUGGGCUUCUGUGCCAUGGAGCUUAACUGCCUUCAGCAUUGCUGGUUUGAGGUUGUCCUUUCCUAAUGGGCCGCCACGGACCGAGUGAGAGUGAAUCCUGGCUGCCUAGUACCCCUGUGAAAAGGGAAGGAGCUGCCCACCGGCAGGGAGACAAUGCACAUAUCAGACCCUUGUGGUGACAGAAGAUCCAACAAGUGAAAUAUUCAGAGGAAGCUGAGCCAGAAGCCACACCCCAGGAGCCAGUGAAUGAUCUGUGCAACCCGGGUUGAAUACGACUGCUGGAGAGAUGAAAUUGGAGUCAUUGCCCCCAUACAUAACUCAGGCUCCAAGUCACAAUGCGUUUUAAAAGGAAGUCACCAGCAUUUUAAUCCUCCGUUAGACGCGUACACACCUACACAACUGUUAUCAGAAGAAAAG
Molecule: long non-coding RNA, 611 nt
Organism: Camelus dromedarius (Arabian camel)
Lineage: Eukaryota; Metazoa; Chordata; Mammalia; Artiodactyla; Camelidae
Exons: 3
Source: RefSeq, a predicted model, not a curated record